AGGAAGUGAAAUCAAGAAGGAAGAAAACACGCAGGAACCAAUCUUACAACCUGAAGUCAGAGUUUCGGAUCCAGAAACCAGUGAAGUUGUGGUUGAACCAGAGGGGUGUGUGUACUACGCCUCCGUCUGCUACACCAAUAAGGCCAAGAGAAAAUCACAGGUUCAUUCCUCCGUGGACAACUCUUCUCCUGAAGAUGCUGCUGCUCAAGAAGCAGUCUACGCCGUAGUCAAAAAAACAGAAACAGAUGAUGUUACUGCCUGAAACUGUUUAAAAAAAAAAUAUUGGAUUUGGUUUUCCAAAAUGUUUGCUUUAAGCAAAUUUUAGCCAAAAAACAAAACUAGAGCUAAUAUCAGCAUUUCACUAGCCUGGCCAUUGCCUCGAUUCUCAUCUCCCUUCACUGUUCAGUCUGGGAUUUCUCCCAUUGAAGUGGAUUCCUCUAGUACAACUUUUACUAGGUCAAUCAGUGAACAGAAGGAAAAGUUAGGACCCUUGAUGUCAAUUUUCUGUUUUAUAAUUUCAGCCUGCCUUAAGUGUUAGCAAUGACGGGAACUUAACGAACUUAGGCAACUUAGCAAGUUAUAAUUUAAAUAACUUAGCAAGUUACAAUUUAAAUAACACAUAAAUUGAAUUAAGAGUCACUGCAAUAAAUCAAUAUUUAUGAGGAAUUUUAUCAAGUGGAGUUGCUCAUUACAACUUGUUUUUAUUAAUAGCCUUACAUUUUUGUAAAGGUGUAGCAGAGAUUCUAUCUGUGCCACUGAACCAAGCUCAUAUCUAAACAUUUAAAUUUUACUUUGACUUUUAUGGGUCUCAAUAUUUUGCUCACUGAGAAAAUCCCAUGUUUGAGUAUUACCACUUAUUACUCAUGUUUGGCCUUGCAGGUUGAACACAUUGAAAACAUUUUAAACCACAUUUUACGUUACAUUUCACUGUAACUUUGCCGACCCCUCCAAAAUUGGUCUUAAAAAUUCUUCCUGUUUUUUGUCCCCCCUAAUAUAGAAAUGAGAUUUCCUCCCUUAAAUAUGUUAAAAAGUCACUAGCUCAACAUAUUAAUUUUGUUAAUAUGAUGGUUUUUAUUUGUUUGUUGCUGUUUUUGGUCUUAAAUUAGAAGAUCAAAGUGAAACUAACUCGGGACUUUCAGACAUGGUGCUCAAAGUUUGAUUGGUUGUUGGACUUAAUGAGUCCGCCCCCACAGAUUCUGGUCAAAAUGGCUCUCAUGAAACCCAGGUAGAGCGAGUUGCUACUCUCAAGUAGAAAGAGUUGAUAUAAAGUUUUUGUCUUAUGUGCUAUAAACAAUAUUUUAACAUGCUUGUAAUCUUUUCCAUCCUCAAAUAAAUGAAACAUUUGUUUGACUGA
Molecule: long non-coding RNA, 1354 nt
Organism: Xiphophorus couchianus (Monterrey platyfish)
Lineage: Eukaryota; Metazoa; Chordata; Actinopteri; Cyprinodontiformes; Poeciliidae
Exons: 4
Source: RefSeq, a predicted model, not a curated record